This 515-nucleotide ribosomal RNA is filed under the name uncultured bacterium. RNAcentral's name for it is "partial 16S ribosomal RNA". It matches the Rfam family "Bacterial small subunit ribosomal RNA", at positions 28 to 523 of the family's 1533-position model. The record is from RNAcentral.
GACGAACGCUGGCGGCGUGCCUAAUACAUGCAAGUCGAGCGGACUUUCAAGAAGCUUGCUCUUUGAAAGUUAGCGGCGGACGGGUGAGUAACACGUGGGCAACCUGCCUGUAAGACGGGGAUAACUCCGGGAAACCGGGGCUAAUACCGGAUAAUAUCUUUCUUCGCAUGAAGGAAGGUUGAAAGGCGGCGCAAGCUGCCGCUUGCAGAUGGGCCCGCGGCGCAUUAGCUAGUUGGUGAGGUAACGGCUCACCAAGGCGACGAUGCGUAGCCGACCUGAGAGGGUGAUCGGCCACACUGGGACUGGAACACGGCCCAGACUCCUACGGGAGGCAGCAGUAGGGAAUCUUCCGCAAUGGACGAAAGUCUGACGGAGCAACGCCGCGUGAGCGAAGAAGGUCUUCGGAUCGUAAAGCUCUGUUGUCAGGGAAGAACAAGUACCGUUCGAAUAGGGCGGUACCUUGACGGUACCUGACCAGAAAGCCACGGCUAACUACGUGCCAGCCGCCGCUGUAA